GAUCUUGAAAUUUUAAUUUUUUCUGCUAUACUUAAAGAUGUCGGAUUUAUCUGACUAUGAUGCUAAACGCUUUGUGAAAUAGGCGUCGUGGACCCGGGGGCAGUGCCCGGCGGCUCCACCAUAAGCUGAGAGGCUAUAGUGGGGGGACAAUCGCCCCAGCGACUCAAUGCUCCCCACCUAUACCUCUCAUCUUACGAUGGGGCCGAAACAGGAUCGACACGCGUAAUAAAGAUAGAGUCUGUAUCCGUUUGAGGUACGGUCGUAUCCGUCCGAAUCAUAUAAAUGCAAAUGAUAAUGCAAAAACCGUAGUUGCCGCCAAUGACAACGUAUUCGUUGCCGUUGAGGAAAAAGCCGCUGCUUAAUUGCGCCGGUGAAACUACAUAAUUCCCCUUGCAUCAGCGAGGGGUGGGGCGCGGGGCGGCCUAGCAACAGAACCGCCCCGAUU
This 445-nucleotide transfer-messenger RNA is filed under the name Alphaproteobacteria bacterium. It matches the Rfam family "Alphaproteobacteria transfer-messenger RNA". Rfam says of the family: Bacterial tmRNA, also known as 10Sa RNA or SsrA, is named for its dual tRNA and mRNA-like properties. Its role is to liberate the mRNA from a stalled ribosome. The record is from RNAcentral. Lineage: Bacteria; Pseudomonadati; Pseudomonadota; Alphaproteobacteria.